AUUCGCGGCCUAUCAGCUUGUUGGUGGGGUAACGGCUCACCAAGGCAUCGACGGGUAGCUGGUCUGAGAGGACGAUCAGCCACACUGGAACUGAGACACGGUCCAGACCCCUACGGGAGGCAGCAGCAGGGAAUAUUGCACAAUGGGCGAAAGCCUGAUGCAGCAACGCCGCGUGAGGGAUGACGGCCUUCGGGUUGUAAACCUCUUUCAGGAGGGAAGAAAUUGACGGUAUCUCCAAAAGAAGCCCCGGCUAACUACGUGCCAGCAGCCGCGGUAAUACGUAGGGGGCGAGCGUUGUCCGGAUUUAUUGGGCGUAAAGAGCUCGUAGGCGGCUCAGUAAGUCGGCUGUGAAAGUCCGAGGCUCAACCUCGGAACUGCAGUCGAUACUGCUGUGGCUAGAGUCAGGUAGAGGAGAAUGGAAUUCCCGGUGUAGCGGUGGAAUGCGCAGAUAUCGGGAGGAACACCAGUAGCGAAGGCGGUUCUCUGGGCCUGUACUGACGCUGAGGAGCGAAAGCGUGGGGAGCAAACAGGAUUAGAUACCCUGGUAGUCCACGCCGUAAACGUUGGGUACUAGGUGUGGCGAUCGGACUAACGAUUGCCGUGCCGAAGCUAACGCAUUAAGUACCCCGCCUGGGGAGUACGGAAU
Molecule: ribosomal RNA, 646 nt
Filed under: uncultured bacterium
Lineage: Bacteria
Description: bacterial SSU rRNA
Rfam family: Bacterial small subunit ribosomal RNA
Source: RNAcentral